Molecule: long non-coding RNA, 203 nt
Organism: Hyposmocoma kahamanoa
Lineage: Eukaryota; Metazoa; Arthropoda; Insecta; Lepidoptera; Cosmopterigidae
Exons: 3
Source: RefSeq, a predicted model, not a curated record
CCGUUCCGUACCGUCAAGAAUUUUAUUGACAAUGAGUUACGAUGAAUCAGAACGGCUUGCAGAGGCGGCGGAAACUGAAGUUACAGGCAUUACAAUCGGUGUUUGUUAUUGUAAUGGAAGUUAAGUUGCCAUAUUGGUCAGCCCGCCAAGCCCCGCAAGCCAUACGUCACUUCCACUAACCGCCCUGCGAUAGCAGCGCCACC